This 658-nucleotide long non-coding RNA is filed under the name Sarcophilus harrisii (Tasmanian devil). RNAcentral describes it as "lncRNA (ENSSHAG00000023964.1)". The record is from RNAcentral. Lineage: Eukaryota; Metazoa; Chordata; Mammalia; Dasyuromorphia; Dasyuridae.
GAUGAACCUUCAGCCUCUGUCCCACUGAAUGCCAGGGGGCUGUCACAAUUACAGGAAAACCAAAAGUCUGCUACCUCCCAGACUCCUAGACACUCAAAGGUCACUUAGGGAGCAGCACCUGGGACACAAGCUCUGGAAGAUGAGGAAGGAUGAUGUAUUUAGGGUGGUCCUUGACAAGUGGGGUCUCAUCCAGAGGAAGGAAUCAGAAUGAUGAGGGAACUGAAAGAUCAUGGGAGGAACAGUUGGGUUUUGUUCUGUUUCUGGAAUCUCUCUUUUCCUAAUCAUCUCCAGACCGCUCCAAAUCCAACUCCUCUCCACUGGACAAUUGGACUCCACCACUGGAACCACCCUAGGCUUUGAGAGGAACUAAAUUGAUAGGAAAAAGAAACAUCUUCUGAGCCGAUAGUUUCCUUCAAAACCAUGUCGGUAAAACUCCCCAGAUUAAUAGAAUACAUCAGUCGCUGUAUUGUGAACAGGUAACAGGCUGAGGAAGGCAUCGGGGAGGAUGAUUAAGUUAAAAAGUGACUGCUGACCUCUCCCUCCAUCCUGAACCCCCCAACACAUACAGUUACAUACCUUCUGGGGACUGAAUGAUAACAGGAAAUGGUUGGUUAGUUAUAUCUUCCUUUGAAAAAUAAAAACAAAAACUUUUCACUGG